UCGCCCUAACUCGCAUUUCCUGCGUAGUUUGGAUUGGGGAGUCGGUUGCCGAUGCACCAAUUGAAGCCGCUCCUAGCGGCCGGAGGCGGCGGCAGAAGGAGCAGCGACGGCGGAUUCCGUUCUCCCGUCCUGCUGCUUCUCUUCCUCUUUGUUCUCGCUCCUUCGCUCUUCUUUGCGGCACGUGGCAGCAUCCGCGCCGCCCUCAUCUAUCCCGAGUUCAAAUUGGAGAGAACAGUACCUGUUGACUGCCUUUGGAAUAUGUGCUCACUGAUUGCUGGUUUUACUUCAAUUGCUUUUUCUUAGUCUGAGACAAGCAGUGGCUGGGCAUAUGGGAUGAAUACUGUUUACCUUAAGGAGUGGAAGAAGAAAGAUAUAACUCUUAUUUAUCACAAGUGGCAGAAAAUGAAUGAAGAGAGUGCUGUGGAAACUGGGGACACUUCCUCCAGGACUACUCACGUUUUAUAAACUGACACACACGCUGGACAAAUCAUGGCAUGUUCUUGGCUUGGGUUAUAACCCUAGCAUUGAUCACUCAGAGAUACAAAAUGCUGCUGUAGUCCAUUAUAAUGGGAACAUGAAACCAUGGUUGGAGAUGGCAAUGAUCAAGUACAGAACAUAUUGGACCAAGUACAUCAUGUAUGAUCACCCUUAUAUUACGCGAUGCAAGCUAAGCGAAUAGGAAGAAUUAGAAAGUGUCAUCAGAAAACAGCUGCAGCUCUUUUGCUCGAGAAGUUAAUCUGGAGUAAGCUGGAGAUUGUGAAGGGUUCUUCGACCUCAUAUUGCCUUAUCUUAUGAAUUAUCUUUGAAAUCCAUGAUGUCAUUCUCACCCGUCUUGUAAAUUUUCCCUUAUUGUUUGUGCCUCUGACGGAGGGAGAUUCUUCAGCUGUUCAAUUUAUCAGAAUAUAUAGCUGCAUUCUGACUCUGAUGGAGAGAGCUUCCUAGCGGUUCAAAUUCAUCAGAAUAUGUAGCUGCAUUCUGCUAACUAGGGCAUUGGACAUGCGAGCUAAAGUUCUCUGCGUAUGCGUUUCUUGCGGCUCUCCUAGUUAGAGGUCAGCACAGUUUUCUCAUGCUUUUUGUGCACAUGGAUGAUUACUGGUCCAUGUAAGGCAUAGAUAUUGAAUGCAUCAUUUUUUUUUUCCUUACUUGUGGGGUCUAUUGUGAUGCUAAUUAUUCUGGAACUGAGAAUUGAUUUUAUUUUGUUGCUUUAUUAUCAGAGAGGAUAUAUACUUAAUAUGCCAAACUAACAAAGCACCAAUGACUUGAAUGAUCAUUAUUUUAGCCUAUCUCUCUGCUACCCCCGGUUAUUUCUUUGCUUUAAAAUGUUCGUUUUAGAUGUAGUUGUUAGAUAUUUUGAUCAGUUGGAAUGCAAGUUUAAGCAGAUUGGAAAUUAAAUGCCUACUCAAUCUGACAUGGUAUAUUCUUUUGUGCAAGUAAUGGUUUUUUGUUUUCUUUUUUUAUAUAAUGUGUAAUUGGUUAAGACAGGUUUUGAUUCUGAAACUCAUGAUGAAUGACUCAUGAUGAAUAAAUAUAUCGGAUGAAGUUUCGUCUCAGCCUUUGGUAGUGCAUAUGACUUGCAAUUUUUAUUUGCACACCACCAUAAAAUAAGGCAAACUAAAAACCUUCUAUUUUUACGUUUUGUAUUAGCAUUUGUUUUUCAUUUAUUUUUGUAGCACAUCCUUUAUUUCCUAAAAAAUAAAAUUAGUUGUAAUAUCUGCCCCAUCAUCUCAUCAUGGUUGUUGACGUUGCUAGCUCUCUUUGUCUCGUCGCUCUUGCCUCUUCUCAUUUUUUUGAUCUCUUCCUCUUUGUUGUCUUAGUCGCCAUCAUUCUUCAUCGUCAUAUAUAUUCUUGUCAUCCCAUCAUGAGGUCCUAUCAUCCUUGUCUCUCCUCCCCUUUGUUGAUGCAAUUAUCAUGUUGCAUGCCACCUAUGCCUUGUCGCCCUCACCUUCCUCCCCUUUUCAUUCGACCUCUUCUCUAUCGUGCUUGACCAUCACGACCUUUGUCAUCUCCCUGCUCCAUGGGGAGUAGAUGGUGUCGAAAUUCAACGAAGGGGAGGG
Molecule: long non-coding RNA, 2054 nt
Organism: Musa acuminata AAA Group (dessert banana)
Lineage: Eukaryota; Viridiplantae; Streptophyta; Magnoliopsida; Zingiberales; Musaceae
Exons: 5
Source: RefSeq, a predicted model, not a curated record